This 1362-nucleotide ribosomal RNA is filed under the name Conus genuanus. Its description in RNAcentral is "16S ribosomal RNA". It matches the Rfam family "Bacterial large subunit ribosomal RNA", at positions 425 to 2775 of the family's 2925-position model. The record is from RNAcentral. Lineage: Eukaryota; Metazoa; Mollusca; Gastropoda; Neogastropoda; Conidae.
AGUUUAAUAUUAGCAGCUAAUAAGUUAAAACAGUUUAAUAAACACUAUACAAAACAUUGUUAGAUUCAGUAAAGGUGAUUGAAAUUUAAUGUUCUGCAUGAAUAUAGUACUGCGAAGGAAAGAUUAGAACUGGAAAUUAGAAGUGAUAGAAUCAUGUACCUUUUGCAUCAUGGCUUAACUAGAUUAGGCCCUAAAUUGGAAAUCUCGAAACUUAAUGAGCUAUCUUCGUUCAGUUUUAUAGACUUGUAGUAGUUGGUUGUGGCAAAAACUUCUUGAGAAUCGAAGAUAGAUAUGAAAUUUUAUCCGCAUUGAGUGAUAGCUAGUUCUUUCUUAAAAACAUAUUAGUGUUGCGGGUCAAGUCCCAAAUGUUGUAAAUUUGUAUUUAUACUAUUUAUUGAUGGCCUAAUUAAAUUUUCGAGGAUAAGCUCGAAAAGAUAAAGUUUGCAUCUGAUUUUUUUUGAAAUAUAAGUUUAGUAAUGGCUAUUAGCAAGAGAAUUUGUUAUAAUUCAUUAUUUAGAUAUCAAUAUGAUUUAUUUGCUUAAAAUGAAAGAAAGAAAUUUUAGCAACCUAAAUAUAAAGUGAUUAUAUGUUAAGAUGAGUAUUAACCUAAUUUCUAGAAAAAUCUAAUAAGUUAAAGUUUGGAUCUAAAUGAAAGAUCUUAAGAUAAAAUCAUGAAAAGGAACUCGGCAAAAACGUAUUCUGCCUGUUUAUCAAAAACAUGGCUUCGUGUCAAUUCUUAAAUACGAAGUCGGACCUGCCCAGUGAGUUUUAAACGGCCGCGGUACUCUGACCGUGCAAAGGUAGCAUAAUCAUUUGCCUUAUAAUUGAAGGCUGGAAUGAAUGGUUUGACAAGAAUACAUCUGUCUCUUUUUGAUUAUCUAGAAUUUUAUUUUUGGGUGAAAAAGCCCAAAUUUUAUUAAAAGACAAGAAGACCCUAUCGAGCUUUAGAGAAAUUAGUAGAAUUUAAAUAAGUCAAUAUUAAUAUAAGAAAAACUACUAAAUACUUUGGUUGGGGCAACCGAGGAGUAAAUAGAGCCUCCUUUAUUUUAUUAAUCAUGCUUGUGUUGAUCCAAGUGUAUUGAUCAAAGGAAUUAGUUACCGUAGGGAUAACAGCAUUAUCUUUUUUAAGAGCCCAUAUCGAAAAAAAGGUUUGUGACCUCGAUGUUGGACCAGAAUAUCCUAAAGAUGCAGAAGUCUUUAAAGGUUGGUCUGUUCGACCAUUAAAAUUCUACGUGAUCUGAGUUCAGACCGGCGUGAGCCAGGUCAGUUUCUAUCUUUAUAUUUUUUGGCUAUGCUCAGUACGAAAGGACCGGUGUAGCGUAUUAGAUACUACAAUUAGAUUAAGUAUAAUUAAACUUUAAA